AUUGAACGCUGGCGGCAUGCCUUACACAUGCAAGUCGAACGGCAGCGCGGGGCAACCUGGCGGCGAGUGGCGAACGGGUGAGUAAUAUAUCGGAACGUACCCUGGAGUGGGGAGUAACGUAGCGAAGUUAACGCUAAUACCGCAUACGAUCUAAGGAUGAAAGGUAGGGGAGUCGCAAGACCUCAUGCUCCUGGAGCGGCCGAUAUCUGAUUAGCUAGUUGGGGGGUAAGGCCUACCAAGGCAUCGAUCAGUAGCUGGUCUGAGAGGACGACCAGCCACACUGGAACUGAGACACGGUCCAGACUCCUACGGGAGGCAGCAGUGGGGAAUUUUGGACAAAUGGGCGCAAGCCUGAUCCAGCAAUGCCGCGUGAGUGAAGAAGGCCU
RNAcentral lists this ribosomal RNA (386 nucleotides) under uncultured bacterium. RNAcentral describes it as "bacterial SSU rRNA". It matches the Rfam family "Bacterial small subunit ribosomal RNA", at positions 30 to 417 of the family's 1533-position model. The record is from RNAcentral.